Molecule: long non-coding RNA, 784 nt
Filed under: Homo sapiens (human)
Lineage: Eukaryota; Metazoa; Chordata; Mammalia; Primates; Hominidae
Description: HSALNT0296728
Source: RNAcentral
GGAGAGGCUAAGAAGGAAAUGAGAAGAGUGAAAUAAGAAGUCCAGGAUAGUGAGUUAUCCUGGAGACAAAAGAAGAAAAUGUUUCCUUGAACUUGCUUGUCAAAUGCCUCUUUAAAAAGAAAGUGAAGAUAACUGCAAGUCAGCUGGAAGUGCUGCCAAGAUAUGACCUCCAGGAAGGCCCAGAAGACAAGUGAUAUUGUGUGGACUGCUACAGCGCAAUGUCUAACUGAUGCAAAAUGAAGAAUCAAUUUGAAAUUAAGAUGAGUAAAGGCAUCCAGCACUUACAGCAAAAAACAUUGUCAUCAGGCCCUGGGGAGAUGAGGACACCUCCCUUCCCUUCUCAGGCUCCCUUUCCCUGUCAGACUCUAGCUCUCAAAGGCUGUCAUCCUCCAAGGGUAUUCCCUACGUACUGCAUAGCAUCUCUGUUACCCUUUGAAUUCAACAGUAUUCAUCUCCUCCAACAUUCAUUCAUUCCUUUAGUCAAAAGUCAGUUGUCAAACACAAGGCACAAGUGCACAUUUAAGGAAUUCAUGGCCAAUAUUUGUCAUGUCAUUUCAUGAAUUGUCUGAGAAACAUAAAACAUACAAUGAGGAUACUGAUCCAAGAUACAUGGCACACAAUUAAAUUGCGAAAAACAUGACUCUGAGUCCAAAAGUUCUUAUUUUUUCACAGUCUUCAGAGUAUUGUAUAGACCCCUUGAAAAAUAAAUUUGCAGAGUGUGAAUGUUAAUUACUGUCACCUUCAGAAAAGAGAUUUUACACAUGUAUAAAAGAGAAAUAGUGAC